RNAcentral lists this unclassified non-coding RNA (376 nucleotides) under uncultured Parachlamydiaceae bacterium. RNAcentral describes it as "contains 16S-23S intergenic spacer region". The record is from RNAcentral. Lineage: Bacteria; Pseudomonadati; Chlamydiota; Chlamydiia; Parachlamydiales; Parachlamydiaceae.
UCCUGGUUAACCCAGGCAGUCUCAUUAGAGUUCCCAACUUAAUGAUGGCAACUAAUGAUAAGGGUUGCGCUCGUUGCUGGACUUAACCAAACACCUCACGGCACGAGCUGACGACAGCCAUGCAGCACCUGUGCAGCGGCUCCGAAGAGAAAUAGUGUUUCCACUAUCGUCCACUGCAUGUCAAGUCUGGGUAAGGUUCUUCGCGUUGCAUCGAAUUAAACCACAUACUCCACUGCUUGUGCGGGUCCCCGUCAAUUCUUUUGAGUUUCAGCCUUGCGACUGUACUCCCCAGGCGGUAUACUUAUCGCGUUAGCUUCGGCACCAUCGGGGUUGAUUCCAAUGACACCAAGUAUACAUCGUUUACGGCAAGGACUAC